Pelobates cultripes (western spadefoot toad) is the source of this 207-nucleotide non-coding RNA. NCBI's taxonomy places the organism in Eukaryota, Metazoa, Chordata, Amphibia, Anura, Pelobatidae. The record is from the annotation of a GenBank genome assembly.
AUUUUUUCUAAAUGUCUCAUUUUCUCUUGUGGUAACAUCAUCUCUCCUCUGGACCCGAUCACGACCACACUACGAAAGGCACCCACUGACGCACCGGACGCGACACAGACAAGGGAGCUAGCGAACGCUAAGCAGACGCUAGAAACACAUCACCAGACCCUGGCGGCACGGACGCACUGACCAUACACGUCCACACCUUCAUACGAG